RNAcentral lists this ribosomal RNA (225 nucleotides) under uncultured Treponema sp. RNAcentral describes it as "partial 16S ribosomal RNA". It matches the Rfam family "Bacterial small subunit ribosomal RNA", at positions 568 to 792 of the family's 1533-position model. The record is from RNAcentral. Lineage: Bacteria; Pseudomonadati; Spirochaetota; Spirochaetia; Treponematales; Treponemataceae.
CAUGUAGGCGGUUACCUAAGCUUGGUGUGAAAGGCAGGAGCUUAACUCCUGGACUGCAUUGAGAACUGGGUAGCUAGAGUUACUGAAGUGGAAUCAGAAUUCCAGGUGUAGGGGUGAAAUCUGUAGAUAUCUGGAAGAAUACCAAUGGCGAAGGCAGGUUUCAGGCAGAUAACUGACGCUGAGGUGCGAAGGUGUGGGGAGCAAACAGGAUUAGAUACCCCCGUA